This 483-nucleotide ribosomal RNA is filed under the name uncultured soil bacterium. RNAcentral's name for it is "bacterial SSU rRNA". It matches the Rfam family "Bacterial small subunit ribosomal RNA", at positions 26 to 507 of the family's 1533-position model. The record is from RNAcentral.
AGAUUGAACGCUGGCGGCAGGCCUAACACAUGCAAGUCGAGCGGCAGCACGGGUACUUGUACCUGGUGGCGAGCGGCGGACGGGUGAGUAAUGCCUAGGAAUCUGCCUGGUAGUGGGGGAUAACGCUCGGAAACGGACGCUAAUACCGCAUACGUCCUACGGGAGAAAGCAGGGGACCUUCGGGCCUUGCGCUAUCAGAUGAGCCUAGGUCGGAUUAGCUAGUUGGUGAGGUAAUGGCUCACCAAGGCGACGAUCCGUAACUGGUCUGAGAGGAUGAUCAGUCACACUGGAACUGAGACACGGUCCAGACUCCUACGGGAGGCAGCAGUGGGAAUAUUGGACAAUGGGCGAAAGCCUGAUCCAGCCAUGCCGCGUGUGUGAAGAAGGUCUUCGGAUUGUAAAGCACUUUAAGUGGAGGAAGGCAGUUACCUAAUACGUAUCUGUUUUGACGUUACGACAGAAUAAGCACCGGCUAACUCUGUG